ACGCACGCAAGUGUGAAACUCAAAGGAAUUGACGGGGGCCCGCACAAGCGGUGGAGUAUGUGGUUUAAUUCGAUGCAACGCGAAGAACCUUACCAGGGUUUGACAUCCUGCGAAUCUUUUGGAAACAGAAGAGUGCCUUCGGGAGCGCAGAGACAGGUGGUGCAUGGCUGUCGUCAGCUCGUGUCGUGAGAUGUUGGGUUAAGUCCCGCAACGAGCGCAACCCACGUCGUUAGUUGCCAGCAUUCAGUUGGGCACUCUAGCGAGACCGCCGGUGAUAAACCGGAGGAAGGUGUGGAUGACGUCAAGUCAUCAUGCCCCUUACAUCCUGGGCUACACACGUACUACAAUGCUACGGACAAAGGGCAGCAAACUCGCGAGAGCUAGCAAAUCCCAUAAACCGUGGCUCAGUUCAGAUCGUAGGCUGCAACUCGCCUACGUGAAGGAGGAAUCGCUAGUAAUCGCAGGUCAGCAUACUGCGGUGAAUACGUUCCCGGGCCUUGUACACACCGCCCGUCACACCAUGGAAGUUGGCCACGCCCGAAGUCGUUACUCCAACCCUUGUGGAGGAGGACGCCGAAGGUGGGGCUGAUGACUGGGGUG
This 600-nucleotide ribosomal RNA is filed under the name uncultured bacterium. Its description in RNAcentral is "bacterial SSU rRNA". It matches the Rfam family "Bacterial small subunit ribosomal RNA", at positions 882 to 1482 of the family's 1533-position model. The record is from RNAcentral.